CGGAGGGUGCAAGCGUUAUCCGGAUUCACUGGGUUCAAAGGGUGCGUAGGUGGGCUGAUAAGUCAGUGGUGAAAUCUCUAGGCUUAACCUGGAAACUGCCAUUGAUACUAUCGGUCUUGAAUCUCGCGUAGGUAAGCGGAAUAUGUCAUGUAGCGGUGAAAUGCUUAGAUAUGACAUAGAACACCAAUUGCGAAGGCAGCUUACUUCACGAGUAUUGACACUGAGGCACGAAAGCGUGGGGAGCAAACAGGAUUAGAUACCCUGGUAGUCCACGCCCUAAACGAUGGAUACUCGACAUCGAGCGAUACACUGUUGGUGUCUGAGCGAAAGCAUUAAGUAUCCCACCUGGGAAGUACGACCGCAAGGUUG
Molecule: ribosomal RNA, 369 nt
Filed under: uncultured organism
Description: bacterial SSU rRNA
Rfam family: Bacterial small subunit ribosomal RNA
Source: RNAcentral